RNAcentral lists this ribosomal RNA (461 nucleotides) under uncultured bacterium. RNAcentral describes it as "bacterial SSU rRNA". It matches the Rfam family "Bacterial small subunit ribosomal RNA", at positions 8 to 507 of the family's 1533-position model. The record is from RNAcentral.
AGAGUUUGAUCAUGGCUCAGAACGAGCGCUGGCGGCAUGCCUAACACAUGCAAGUCGAACGGGAUCCUAGCUUGCUAGGUGAGAGUGGCGGACGGGUGAGUAACACGUGGGAAUCUGCCUUUUGGUUCGGGAUAACCGCGGGAAACUGCGGCUAAUACCGAAUGCCCUCGAGAGAGGAAAGAUUUAUCGCCAGAAGAGGAGCCCGCGUCCGAUUAGGUAGUUGGUGGGGUAAAGGCCUACCAAGCCGACGAUCGGUAGCUGGUCUGAGAGGAUGAUCAGCCACACUGGGACUGAGAUACGGCCCAGACUCCUACGGGAGGCAGCAGUGGGGAAUAUUGGACAAUGGGCGAAAGCCUGAUCCAGCCAUGCCGCGUGAGUGAUGAAGGCCCUAGGGUUGUAAAGCUCUUUCAACGGUGAAGAUAAUGACGGUAACCGUAGAAGAAGCCCCGGCUAACUUCGUG